This 400-nucleotide ribosomal RNA is filed under the name uncultured bacterium. RNAcentral describes it as "bacterial SSU rRNA". It matches the Rfam family "Bacterial small subunit ribosomal RNA", at positions 142 to 521 of the family's 1533-position model. The record is from RNAcentral.
AAUAAUACACCGAAAGGGGUACUAAUACCGGAUAUUCUUGCAUUUCAUAAGGAGUGUAAGCAAAGGUGGCCUCUGUAUAUGCUACUGCUUGAUGAGGGGUCUGCGUACCAUUAGCUAGUAGGUGGGGUAAUGGCCCACCUAGGCUACGAUGGUUAGCGGGUCUGAGAGGAUGAUCCGCCACACUGGCACUGGAACACGGGCCAGACUCCUACGGGAGGCAGCAGUGAGGAAUAUUGCGCAAUGGGGGCAACCCUGACGCAGCGACGCCGCGUGAGUGAGGAAGGCCUGGUCGUAAGACUCUGUCAAGGGAAAGAAAUAGUAUAAUGGCUAAUACCUGUUAUAUUUGUACGGUACCCUUAAACGGAAGACACCGGCGUAACUCCGUGCCAGCAGCCGCGGU